GUGAAUCAUCGAAUCUUUGAACGCAUAUUGCACCUUAGAGUAUUCUUUAAGGUAUACCUGUUCGAGCGUCGUUUACAACAAAUAAAGCCUUGCUUUUCGAUGAAUUUUGAUUUGCACCUCGCAAUUCAAUCUUCUAAACAUAGUGGUGUUUUGGUUUUAGAUUGCCAAAGUUGAAAUACAGUGAAAAUGUAUGAAUUCUUUGACGCAGGAUAAAAUCAAAGUUCGCCUUACAACCCCCAAUUUUUUUUGUUCGACCUCGAAUCAAGUAAGACUACCCGCUGAACUUAAGCAUAUCAAUAA
RNAcentral lists this unclassified non-coding RNA (300 nucleotides) under uncultured fungus. Its description in RNAcentral is "sequence contains 5.8S rRNA gene, ITS2". The stretch from base 1 to 71 matches the Rfam family "5.8S ribosomal RNA", at positions 84 to 154 of the family's 154-position model. The record is from RNAcentral. Lineage: Eukaryota; Fungi.